GGGGAGGAGCCCAGAGCCUGAAUCAGCAUGUGUGUUAGUGGAAGCGUCUGGAAAGGCGCGCGAUACAGGGUGACAGCCCCGUACACAAAAGCGCAUGUGCUGUGAGCUCGAUGAGUAGGGCGGGACACGUGGUAUCCUGUCUGAAUAUGGGGGGACCAUCCUCCAAGGCUAAAUACUCCUGACUGACCGAUAGUGAACCAGUACCGUGAGGGAAAGGCGAAAAGAACCCCGGCGAGGGGAGUGAAAAAGAACCUGAAACCGUGUACGUACAAGCAGUGGGAGCACCCUUUGGGGUGUGACUGCGUACCUUUUGUAUAAUGGGUCAGCGACUUAUAUUCUGUAGCAAG
Molecule: ribosomal RNA, 347 nt
Filed under: Salmonella enterica subsp. enterica serovar Paratyphi B var. L(+) tartrate +
Lineage: Bacteria; Pseudomonadati; Pseudomonadota; Gammaproteobacteria; Enterobacterales; Enterobacteriaceae
Description: partial 23S ribosomal RNA
Rfam family: Bacterial large subunit ribosomal RNA
Source: RNAcentral